GACAACCUUCUGUGAGACAAGGCAGCCUCUGUCUUCAGCUUGGAGAUCCGCCCCUGGAGCCAGCUCAGCCCCUUCCCCUCCACUCCCCAGUUUCCCUCUCUCAACCCCUCUGCUUGAACUCCCCCCAUCCCAGCCAGUGGAACGCAGAACUCUUACCAAUUUUUGGAGGAGCAGGAAGUGCUUGUGGGGAGAUCAUGGAAGAGGGGGUUCCUGCUGUGACAAGGUGGGCUGCCCUCUGUGGAAUCAAGCAUGCUCCUUCCCUUGGCCCUUUUAAUAAAUUCUCCCUGGUAAGAGGAAGAACUAAGGGAAGAGUGGGGAAAACAUCCUGGCCAAGGAGAGGAAAAGAUAAAUCUCUUCCUGGGUCCUCAUCUCUGUUUCAACAACUCCAAUUCAGCAACAUGAUUUGCAAUGCCUAGGCAAUGUGGUUAAGUGACUUGCCCAGAGUCAUAC
Long non-coding RNA from Phascolarctos cinereus (koala), 450 nucleotides. RefSeq lists it as uncharacterized. The record is from RefSeq and is a predicted model, not a curated record. NCBI's taxonomy places the organism in Eukaryota, Metazoa, Chordata, Mammalia, Diprotodontia, Phascolarctidae.